AGUGAACGCUGGCGGUAGGCCUAACACAUGCAAGUUGAACGGCAGCACAGUAAGAGCUUGCUCUUACGGGUGGCGAGUGGCGGACGGGUGAGGAAUACAUCGGAAUCUACUUUUUCGUGGGGGAUAACGUAGGGAAACUUACGCUAAUACCGCAUACGACCUACGGGUGAAAGCAGGGGAUCUUCGGACCUUGCGCGAUUGAAUGAGCCGAUGUCGGAUUAGCUAGUUGGCGGGGUAAAGGCCCACCAAGGCGACGAUCCGUAGCUGGUCUGAGAGGAUGAUCAGCCACACUGGAACUGAGACACGGUCCAGACUCCUACGGGAGGCAGCAGUGGGGAAUAUUGGACAAUGGGCGCAAGCCUGAUCCAGCCAUACCGCGUGGGUGAAGAAGGUCUUCGGGUUGUAAAGCCCUUUUGUUGGGAAAGAAAAGCAGCAGGUUAAUACCCCGCUGUUCUGACGGUACCCAAAGAAUAAGCACCGGCUAACUUCGUG
This 492-nucleotide ribosomal RNA is filed under the name uncultured bacterium. RNAcentral describes it as "partial 16S ribosomal RNA". It matches the Rfam family "Bacterial small subunit ribosomal RNA", at positions 29 to 507 of the family's 1533-position model. The record is from RNAcentral.